ACACGAACCGUCCGAACGUUAUUCGGAAUCACUGGGCUUAAAGGGUGCGUAGGCGGUGCGGUAAGUUGGGUGUGAAAUCCCUCGGCUCAACCGAGGAACUGCGCCCAAUACUGCCGUACUUGAGGGAGACAGAGGUAAGCGGAACUGAUGGUGGAGCGGUGAAAUGCGUUGAUAUCAUCGGGAACACCGGUGGCGAAAGCGGCUUACUGGGUCUCUUCUGACGCUGAGGCACGAAAGCUAGGGGAGCGAACGGGAUUAGAAACCCGGGUAGUCC
This 274-nucleotide ribosomal RNA is filed under the name uncultured bacterium. Its description in RNAcentral is "partial 16S ribosomal RNA". It matches the Rfam family "Bacterial small subunit ribosomal RNA", at positions 523 to 796 of the family's 1533-position model. The record is from RNAcentral.